UGCAGAUUAUUUUCACCUGUUCCUAUCAGGAUUCAUAUUAAUGUAGAGCAGACACAAGGUCUGACAUAGAUAGGUUAAGGCACUGAUGCAGUAAUCAGAGACAACAAGAAGAAGUUAUGUUGGGGACAAUGUCCUUGUUUUUCUUGCAACUGAGUGUGUUAGUAGUUUUGUUCAGGAGCAGAGUACUAGAAGGCUCUCUGGUGUGUAUCAGCCCUCUUAAAGCCUCUGGCUCUUUGCAGCUUUUGGGAUUUUAGUGGAUUUCUCUCACAGCUUACAGAAACCUUUUUGUAGCUGCUUGACUGGUGCAGGUCUGCUCACCAAAACAUUCGCAGCUAACUGAAAUACCAAAAGACAAGCUGAAAAGACAUAUGAAAAAAGUGUGAAUGUAUGUCACUUGUCUCCACUCAAGUAGUGUUGAGCCAAGGACAGUAAACUUUAACAAGAGUAAGUUGGAGGGCUAUAUUUUUUUUCUGAGGAUAUCUUACCCAUUACUUUUGGGAUUUUGGCGUCUCUGGUCUAAGGAUUUAGUGAGCAUGGAAAACUCUGGGCUCUUUUUUCCAUCAAUUACAACCUCCCAGUGGACAUUGCCAGGCUCCCAAAUAGUGUCCCCUGCUGCCGAAAGGCUGCGCCACAUAUUGGGAGAAGAUGAUAGCACUCCAACACCAACAAUAUUCACUGAGAUGGAUACAUUACAGCAGGAGGGUGGUGAAUUAGAGUGGAAAGAGUCUGCAAGAUGGGUGAAGUUUGAGGAGAAGGUGGAGGAGGGAGGAGAAAGAUGGAGCAAGCCUCAUGUUUCCACACUCACCCUCCAUAGUCUGUUUGAGCUGAGAACCUGCCUGCAGACAGGAAGUAUUCUGCUCGACCUAGAGGGCUACUCACUGCCACAGAUCGUGGAGGAGAUUGUGGAACAGCAGAUAGCUGAUGGUCUCAUUCCUCCUGAUCUUAAGGAGAAGAUUAUCUUUGUGUUGCUCAGGAAGCAUCGUCAUCAGACCAAGAAGCCAAUCCACCGCUCUCUGGCCGACAUGGGAAAGUCAUCCAAUGCUGCGUCUAGCCGUAGUCCUCAGGUUAAUCUGAGUCGUAGCACUAGUUCAGCUUCUGGGAUCCACCGCUCCACAGAAGACCUACGUUCUCGGCAGUCAAGCAGCCUUGGCCGCCUGCAUAAUGCCCAGAGUAGAAGCAUGAAUGAUAUUUCAGACACACCAAGCACUGAUCAGCUUAAGAAUAAGUUCAUGAAGAAGAUACCUCGUGAUGCAGAAGCAUCCAAUGUCCUGAUUGGUGAAGUUGAUUUUCUGGAUAAACCCUUUGUCUCCUUUGUACGCUUGGCUCAAGCUACAACUCUGGGGGGGCUUACUGAGGUUCCUGUACCAACCAGAUUUCUCUUCAUUCUUCUGGGUCCUCAUGGCAAAACCAAAUCCUACAACGAGAUUGGCAGAGCUAUUGCUACACUCAUGGUGGAUGAUUUGUUUAGUGAUGUUGCCUAUAAGGCAAGGGACCGUGAAGACUUGAUUGCAGGUGUUGAUGAGUUUCUGGAUGAAGUGAUUGUCCUUCCUCCAGGAGAAUGGGACCCCAAGAUCCGUAUUGAACCCCCUAAAAAGGUUCCAUCCGCAGAAACGAGAAAGUCAGUGCUGAACUUGAAUGAGCUGGGUCAGGUGAAUGGUUUAGCUGGCGGAGCAGCUGGAGGUGAAGAUGAGGAGCUUCCAGCCCCACAUGAGUUGGGAGAGGAGCUGAAAUUCACUGGGAGGAUUGGUGGUGGAUUAUGGCUGGAUAUCAAACGGAAGAUCCCAUGGUAUUGCAGUGAUAUUUAUGAUGGUUUCCAUAUCCAGUCCAUCUCUGCUGUGCUAUUCAUCUACCUAGGCUGCAUCACCAAUGCUAUCACCUUUGGAGGACUACUAGGGGAUGCUACUGACAAUUACCAGGGAGUGAUGGAGAGUUUUCUUGGCACUGCUUUAGCAGGAAGUGUCUUUUGCUUGUUUGGAGGACAGCCUCUCAUCAUUUUGAGUUCAACUGGGCCCAUUCUCAUCUUUGAAAAACUGCUUUAUGAGUUCAGCAAAAACAAUGAUGUGGACUAUAUGGAGCUUCGUCUGUGGAUUGGCCUUCACUCGUGUCUGCAGUGUUUUUUACUGGUUUUUUCAGAUGCUAGCUACAUCAUCAAAUAUAUGACCCGGUUCACGGAGGAGGGUUUCUCCAGCCUCAUUUCUUUUAUAUUCAUUUCUGAUGCAAUCAAGAAGAUGGUCGGAGCCUUUAAAUAUUACCCAAUCAACCGUGGCUUCAAACCUGAUUACAUUACAGCUUAUAAGUGUGAAUGCAUCGCUCCAGACCAGGCACCUGCACUGGGCUUGAAUGCUUCAGCUCCACUUGCAGAUGAUAAUAUGACUCUGCUGUUUAACUUAACAGAUCUGGACUGGAGUCAGCUGAGUAAGAAAGAAUGUGUGAAGUAUGGUGGUAUGCUGGUGGGGAACUCCUGUAAGUAUGUUCCUGACCUGGCCCUCAUGUCCUUCAUCCUCUUCUUUGGCACCUACUCCAUGACAGUUUCUCUUAAGAAGUUCAAGUUUAGCCGCUACUUCCCAACAAAGCUGAGGAAGCUAAUCAGUGACUUUGCCAUCUUCAUGUCAAUCAUGUCCUUUGUGGGUCUCGAUAUGCUGAUGGGGUUAGACACACCCAAACUUAUCGUGCCAACAGAGUUCAAGCCUACACGUAGUGACCGGGGCUGGCUGGUGAUGCCCUUUGGUAAGAACCCCUGGUGGUGGUAUCUGGCCAGUUUCGUUCCUGCUCUUCUGGUCACCAUCCUCAUCUUCAUGGACCAGCAGAUUAGUGCUGUCAUUGUCAACCGCAAGGAAAACAAAUUAAAGAAAGGCUGUGGCUACCACUUGGACCUGUUCUGGGUAGGUGUACUGAUGGCCGUGUGUUCUUUCGUGGGCAUGCCAUGGUAUGUAGCAGCCACUGUUAUCUCCAUUGCUCAUAUCGACUCACUGAAGAUGGAGAGUGAAUCUAGCGCCCCUGGAGAGCAACCACAGUUCCUUGGAGUCAGAGAGCAGAGGUUGACAGGCACUUUGGUGUUUGUUCUAACAGGACUCUCAGUCUUUCUUGCACCUAUACUUCAGUACAUCCCCAUGCCUGUCCUUUAUGGUGUCUUCCUCUACAUGGGAGUGGCUUCACUUAGUGGCAUCCAGUUCUGGGAGCGCAUCAAGCUGUAUCUAAUGCCACCAAAACACCAGCCAGACUUCUCCUUCCUGCGUCAUGUCCCUAUGAGACGCGUCCACCUUUUCACCCUAGUCCAGAUUGUGUGUCUGGCUGUUCUCUGGAUCCUUAAGUCUACGUUUCUGGCCAUCAUCUUCCCAGUAAUGAUUCUCGGUCUCAUGGUUGUACGGAAGCUGCUGGAUUUGAUGUUCUCACAACAUGACUUGGCCUGGCUGGAUGAUAUCCUGCCAGACAAAGACAAGAAGAAGAAGGAAGAUGAGAAGAAGAAGAAGAAAGACAAGAAAGCACCAGAGCCUGAGAGUGAUGAGGAGCCUGACAGCUCUGCAAACCCUCCAGUGAAGAUUCACAUGGAGACCACAAAGCCCUACUCAAAGUCAGACCUUUCCCAAAAUAACUCUCCCACCCAAAGCCUAUCCUCAGAUUGAGAUGAACCCCUACUCGACAGUCACAUCUGAUCAAAAUGAGCUAGACCACAGCAUCACUCUGCACCUGAAGAUCUCCUGUCCCCCCUCACGUGCCGACUCUGAACUCAGCCUCAGCCCUCCUCUGCAACACCCACAACACCAGCCUGUGCCCAGGGUCAGCAUCCGUGUGGAGUCCGAUUGCGAGGAGUCUGGCUUCCACUACAGACAGCAGCAGCACAACGUCUACCUGUCUGAUGACCGGCCACUGCCUAAAAUAGAGAAAGAAUCUUGCAGGAAAAUGCAAGAUCACUUUCACAACUCCUGUGCUGAAACCAUUUUGUAAAAACAAAGAAUGUUGAAAGGUGCAAAGUGUUGCUUACUGAUCACAGAUCAUGUCUAACAUCGUUUAAGUGAUUUUUUUUAAUUAUCAGCUCUCAGGUCUGCUUUGGAAACCAGCUUCUUGUAGUUCCAAUGAUAAAAACCAAAGCAUAUUAAUGAAUGCACAAUCCCUCUCUGAAGCAAUUAGGUCACUGAUGAAUAGGUCAGUUUAAUAGGUCAGUGUAUUUGAUGAGUGGUCAAGCAUGAUCUACAUGUUUAUGCACAUUUCUGAUGUAAAACCCUGAUAUAAAAAAUAAAAAAAGAAACAUCCAUUUAAAA
Molecule: RNA transcript, 4259 nt
Organism: Oreochromis niloticus (Nile tilapia)
Lineage: Eukaryota; Metazoa; Chordata; Actinopteri; Cichliformes; Cichlidae
Gene: slc4a5b
Gene name: solute carrier family 4 member 5b
Exons: 26
Source: RefSeq, a predicted model, not a curated record